GACGUUUAUGUUCAUAUAAACAUUUUCGUUUUUCUUGUGUAAAUUUUCAAAUUAAAAUACGUUGAAAUCACCUUGGAUACUAGCGCCGCCUAUGCAACUUAUUGCUACAUGAAAACUGACAGAUUCACUCGCCGUCUCAUCCACCACCCACCGAUCGAAAAAGCAAAACAAUAACAAUCGUUCGCACCGGAGUCAUUCGUUCCUCAUUCGUUCCUUCAGUGUGUGCUUUCGCUUGAAAUAUCUCGGAAAUAUCCAAUAUUUCACUCCACAUAUGUUUUAACGUUGUGUUUUACGCAAACCAAAUCGACUUCAGGCAAAGUUCAGCGGAAAACACCGUUUAAAAAGGCACCGGCCACAAACAUAGGAAGAAGCAUCAGGGACUAUAGGUGGAAGUGGACAAUAAUGGAAGCUUCUUAUCACGAACCAAUUAAAUUGGUGGUUUACCUUUGCAGGCUCAAUUGUAAAAGACGUUGGGCGGCACCUACGUGAGAGCUCGCGAGAGUAUUUCGUCGUUGGAAAAGAAAAACAAAACGUGCAGUUUAGACGCUCGUCAUUAUUUCCCGCCUAACGAAGGGCUACACAUUUUUUUUUAUCAUACAUGUAAUUUAGUACGAUCAAUG
This is a long non-coding RNA of Armigeres subalbatus, 620 nucleotides long. RefSeq lists it as uncharacterized. NCBI's taxonomy places the organism in Eukaryota, Metazoa, Arthropoda, Insecta, Diptera, Culicidae. The record is from RefSeq and is a predicted model, not a curated record. The transcript has 3 exons.